RNAcentral lists this ribosomal RNA (425 nucleotides) under uncultured bacterium. RNAcentral describes it as "bacterial SSU rRNA". It matches the Rfam family "Bacterial small subunit ribosomal RNA", at positions 359 to 776 of the family's 1533-position model. The record is from RNAcentral.
GAAUUUUGGACAAUGGGCGCAAGCCUGAUCCAGCCAUGCUGCGUGAGUGAAGAAGGCCUUCGGGUUGUAAAGCUCUUUCGGCGGGGACGAAAUGGUCCGUGCUAAUACCACGGACUGAUGACGGUACCCGCCGAAGAAGCACCGGCUCAAUACGUGCCAGCAGCCGCGGUAAUACGUCGGGUGCAGGCGUUAAUCGGAAUUACUGGGCGUAAAGCGUGCGCAGGCGGUUUGUUAAGACAGAUGUGAAAUCCCCGGGCUUAACCUGGGAACUGCGUUUGUAACUGGCAGACUUGAGUGUGGCAGAGGGGGGUGGAAUUCCAAGUGUAGCAGUGAAAUGCGUAGAUAUUUGGAGGAACACCGAUGGCGAAGGCAGCCCCCUGGGCUAACACUGACGCUCAUGCACGAAAGCGUGGGGAGCAAACAGG